GAGCUUGCUCCCGGAUGUUAGCGGCGGACGGGUGAGUAACACGUGGGUAACCUGCCUGUAAGACUGGGAUAACUCCGGGAAACCGGAGCUAAUACCGGAUAGUUCCUUGAACCGCAUGGUUCAAGGAUGAAAGACGGUUUCGGCUGUCACUUACAGAUGGACCCGCGGCGCAUUAGCUAGUUGGUGGGGUAAUGGCUCACCAAGGCGACGAUGCGUAGCCGACCUGAGAGGGUGAUCGGCCACACUGGGACUGAGACACGGCCCAGACUCCUACGGGAGGCAGCAGUAGGGAAUCUUCCGCAAUGGACGAAAGUCUGACGGAGCAACGCCGCGUGAGUGAUGAAGGUUUUCGGAUCGUAAAGCUCUGUUGUUAGGGAAGAACAAGUGCGAGAGUAACUGCUCGCACCUUGACGGUACCUAACCAGAAAGCCACGGCUAACUACGUGCCAGCAGCCGCGGUAAUACGUAGGUGGCAAGCGUUGUCCGGAAUUAUUGGGCGUAAAGGGCUCGCAGGCGGUUUCUUAAGUCUGAUGUGAAAGCCCCCGGCUCAACCGGGGAGGGUCAUUGGAAACUGGGAAACUUGAGUGCAGAAGAGGAGAGUGGAAUUCCACGUGUAGCGGUGAAAUGCGUAGAGAUGUGGAGGAACACCAGUGGCGAAGGCGACUCUCUGGUCUGUAACUGACGCUGAGGAGCGAAAGCGUGGGGAGCGAACAGGAUUAGAUACCCUGGUAGUCCACGCCGUAAACGAUGAGUGCUAAAGUGUUAGGGGGUUUCCGCCCCUUAGUGCUGCAGCUAACGCAUUAAGCACUCCGCCUGGGGGAGUACGGUCGCAAGACUGAAACUCAAAGGAAUUGACGGGGGCCCGCACAAGCGGUG
This 876-nucleotide ribosomal RNA is filed under the name Bacillus safensis. RNAcentral describes it as "bacterial SSU rRNA". It matches the Rfam family "Bacterial small subunit ribosomal RNA", at positions 76 to 934 of the family's 1533-position model. Lineage: Bacteria; Bacillati; Bacillota; Bacilli; Caryophanales; Bacillaceae. The record is from RNAcentral.